AUUGAACGCUGGCGGCAUGCCUUACACAUGCAAGUCGAACGGCAGCGGGGGAGAAGCUUGCUUUUCCUGCCGGCGAGUGGCGAACGGGUGAGUAAUACAUCGGAACGUGCCCUGUAGUGGGGGAUAACUAGUCGAAAGAUUAGCUAAUACCGCAUACGACCUGAGGGUGAAAGUGGGGGACCGCAAGGCCUCAUGCUAUAGGAGCGGCCGAUGUCUGAUUAGCUAGUUGGGGGGGUAAAGGCCUACCAAGGCGACGAUCAGUAGCUGGUCUGAGAGGACGAUCAGCCACACUGGGACUGAGACGCGGCCCAGACUCCUACGGGUGGCAGCAGUGGGGAAUUUUGGACAAUGGGCGAAAGCCUGAUCCAGCAAUGCCGCGUGUGUGAAGAAGGCCUUCGGGUUGUAAAGCACUUUUGUCCGGAAAGAAAUGGCUCUGGUUAAUACCUGGGGUCGAUGACGGUACCGGAAGAAUAAGGACCGGCUAACUACGUGCCAGCCGCCGCCGUAA
Molecule: ribosomal RNA, 508 nt
Filed under: uncultured bacterium
Lineage: Bacteria
Description: partial 16S ribosomal RNA
Rfam family: Bacterial small subunit ribosomal RNA
Source: RNAcentral